GGCCAUCAGCGGUCUAAAGCGCUGCAUUCAGGUAGCAGUCUCCCCUGGGAGGCGUGGGUUCGAAUCCCACUUCUG
Molecule: transfer RNA, 75 nt
Filed under: Merluccius polli (Benguela hake)
Lineage: Eukaryota; Metazoa; Chordata; Actinopteri; Gadiformes; Merlucciidae
Description: tRNA-Leu
Source: RNAcentral